This 440-nucleotide ribosomal RNA is filed under the name Triticum aestivum (bread wheat). RNAcentral's name for it is "partial small subunit ribosomal RNA". Lineage: Eukaryota; Viridiplantae; Streptophyta; Magnoliopsida; Poales; Poaceae. The record is from RNAcentral.
GGCUUCACUUCGAGGGUGGCGGACACGGCUGCAUCGUGUAGGUGGUGGAGAAGGACGACCGUGCGCCCCGGCGUCCUUUGUGUGGUGGCAGUCAUGCGCAGUGCUACGUCGAGACUGGAUGAAGCACGGGCGACCGUUGUGUCUAGGAGAUAUGGAAAUUGCAGCACCGUGCAGCUACAGUCCUGCAGCAGGUUGACGGGCGAAUGGUCAUAGCGGGAAGACAACGGGCAUGUCGACUGCUGCGAGUAUUCCAUUCUCGUAGACAACUACAUUUGCAUGAUGAGCAAGAGGUUGGCAACGUUGCUACAAGGCUGGACAAGUCACCUAGUGAAAUCAUUUGCUUCACCUGUUCCGAAGACCAUACAAGUUUUUUUUUUACUUUAUAUUGUAUUGACCUGAAAGGCUACAAAGUACAUCUGAUAAAUUAGGAUGAACUUUUC